This 68-nucleotide transfer RNA is filed under the name Bos taurus (domestic cattle). It matches the Rfam family "tRNA". Rfam says of the family: Transfer RNA (tRNA) molecules are approximately 80 nucleotides in length. The record is from Rfam by way of RNAcentral. Lineage: Eukaryota; Metazoa; Chordata; Mammalia; Artiodactyla; Bovidae. RNAcentral also lists the same sequence under 5 other names.
CCUGGUAGCUAAGUGGUACAGAAUCUGCCUGCAAUGCAGUAGACCCUGGUUUGAUUCCUGGGUCAGGA